CACUGGCGUCUAGCCCCGGGUAUGCAACUAAUGAUCCUUCUUUUUUGACAUGCGCUUGGUGAAGUUAGUCAUAAGUUAGUUAGGUUAGAAUACUGUUCGGCAAGUUGUGUGUUGUUUUAAAGUGUCGUUUUUUCGUUAGUAUUGUAAAACUUUAUUAAUUUUGGGUGAAAUUAUACAACUACAUUAAAUAAGACUAAAAGUUAAAUGUAGUGGAUAAUAUAAAAUAAGAAAUACCGGAAAUACCUUUCAAGUUGGUGAAAUUUUAACUUUUAUGUUUAUUUUUACUUUUAUUUGUAUGUAUAAAUCCACCUUUUGUUAAUUUAUUUGCGAUUAUAUGGAAGUGCAUUUAAGACAAUAAAAAAAAAUGGAGGGGCAACAUACGUGUGUGCAGUGCAGCAAAAAAUACAGUAACAUUAGCAAUCUAAGAAAGCACGUCAUCAAGUUUCAUCCUAAUAAUGAUGAUUAUCUAGCUUCCCUGCAAAUACGACAAAAUAAACAUUAUAAUUUUGCUUGUGACCAGUGUAAAAAACAUUUUACGCAUUUAAGAAAUUUAAAAUUCCACAUCAGAACACAUAGAAGCUCAAAUAACACUUCAGCUCCAUAUAUUACACCUCCCAAUACCUCGACCACUACCAAUGCAAAUCAGUGUGCUUUGUGCAGUGACUUUUGUGCUGAUAGGAAGACCGUUAUAGAACAUUAUAGAGACUUUCAUAACAUUCCUAUUGAACAUAAAAAAUUGACGUUUCAAAGUGAGGAAGAAUUUAUUACUUGGAAGCUUACCUUUGAAAAUGACACAAACUGUAAAUAUGUGGUUAACUAUCAGAAAUGUUUUAAAUCACAUGUAGCUACAAGUUUUAUUUGCCAUCGUUCAGGAAGAUAUGUUCCAGAAGGCAAAAAUAUUCGGCACUUAAAGAUACUAGGAAGUAAGAAAAUAAAUGCACUCUGCCCAGCAAGCAUAAAAAUAAAAAAGCUUAAUAAUGGCACUUGUGAAGUGACCAUUAUGGACAAACAUGUGGGACAUCAGAAUGACAUCGGCCACUUGAAUUUGUCUAAAACAGAAAGAGAGAAUUUAGCAGUAAAAAUUUCUUCUAAAGUCCCAUUUGAAGAUAUUUUAGACGAAAUUAGAGAUUCAAUCACUGACUCAGAACUAAAACGUCUGCAUCUGCUCACAAAGAAAGAUCUAUAUAACAUAGAAGCCUGUUUCAAUUUGUGCUCCUCAUCAGUUAGACAUAAAAACGACAUCAUAAGUGUAGAGUCCUGGAUCAAUGAUAUGCAAGGUAAUGGAGAUGCAGUUCUGUUUUAUAAGCCCCAAGGUUCUGAAAGUGAAGAAUGGCCAAUGUUAAAAAAUGAGGAUUUUGUUUUGAUUAUCAUGACUGCUGCACAAUGUGAAAUGCUUAAAAUUUAUGGGACCGAUUGCAUCUGUAUAGAUGGAACUCAUGGGAUGAAUAACUAUGACUUCGAACUUAUAACUCUCCUUGUUGUUGAUGAUAUUCGUCAGGGAUUUCCUUGCAGUUUUCUUGUGUCAAAUAGGUCUGAUAAACAAGUUUUAAAAUAUUUUUUCACUUUGUAAAAUCUCGCCUUGGUAAUGCACUUUGCCCAAAUGUCUUCAUGUCAGAUAUGGCAGAAGCUUUCUUCAAUGCAUGGAUUGAAAUAAUGUCUCCACCAAAAUUCAGAUUAUACUGUUCAUGGCACGUUGACCAGGCGUGGCGUAAGAAUUUAUCAAAAAUCAACACCAAAGAAAAGCAAGCUUUUAUUUAUAAGAAUUUAAGAGCUGUCUUAGAAGAAAGGGAUGUCACAACUUUUAAUAUUUUAAUUAACAAGUUAUAUACUAUGUUACUUGAAGAUCCUGAUACAAUGGAAUUUGCCAACUAUUUUAAUAAGUAUUACAUGUGCUGUGUAGAAUGUUGGGCAUACUGCCACCGACUUGGUGCGGGUUUAAAUACAAACAUGCAUUUAGAACGUAUGCACAAAACACUAAAAUAUACUUAUUUAAAAGGAAAGAAAGUCAAGCGAUUGGACAAGGCAAUCAACGCAAUAAUGCGAUUUGUAAGAGACAAAUGCAUUGACAGGUUAAUAGUUCUUAACAAGGGGAAGAUGAGCAGUAAGCUGCAAAUAAUUCGGUCCAGGCACAAACAAAGUUUAAAAUUGAGGGAAGAUUUAGUAGUCGAGUGUGAAAAUAGAUGGAACAUUGCCUCAGAAACAACAGCAGAAUUAUAUGUUAUUCAGAAGGUUCAACGAGAUUGUAAAUGCCAACUACUGUGCAAUGAGUGUAAAACUUGCAUCCAUCAGUUUUGCUGUUCUUGUCUUGACUCGUCAGUUAAAUACAACAUGUGCAAACAUAUUCAUCUUUUGAUCAGAUAUAUUUCUCAAUGUGUAACUGACUCACUGGAGCAUCCUCAAGAACUUGAGUCUGACUACGUCUGAAACUGGCGCCGUUUGGAAAUGCACUACAACUGCGACUAGUCUCUAAAUCAGAGCAGUAGUGAAAGGGCAAGAAGUUACCAAAAUUUAGAAGUAACGAAUCAAGUGUAGGCAUUUUAAACAUAAGACAUUUAUUUGUCGCAAGUUAAAACCAUUUUAAGAAGACUAAAGUUAAGAAGUACAGUAAAAGCUCUUUAUUCGCGGGAUAUACGUUCCGUAAAUAUGCCGCGAAUAAAGAAACCGUGAAUAUAGAAUGGUAAUUUAUAUAGGAUUGUAGGGGAUACGUUCCUAGGUUACAAAAUAACAAACAAGUACAUACAUAGGUACAUAUAUAAAAAAUAAAUUUAAUUGAAGUUUCUGACCAUAUUGAGUAAUUAUUACCUUCAGGCUUCGGCAAUGGCUUAAAGAAAUUUGUAAUUUCUUGCUUGGCAUUUUUUAAAAGCUCCUUCAAUUCAUACUGAUAUUCAGCAGUGGCAUUAGCAAUUUGCCUCUUAAAAAUAAGACUUCGUUCCAUAGAUGGAUCAAUUUUCAUAAAAAAAUCACAAAGUUCAUAUGCCAUUCUUAAACCUUCGCUAAGAUUUUUUGAAUUAAAUGUCACGUUUCCAGUGCUUGUUGAAGCCUCUUCUUCAAUAGGCUGCGAAUUUAACAUUUCCUCCAAGUCCGUUUCAGUCAAAUCUUCAUCUGGCGAUUUAAGCAACAUCUGAAUGUCAUUUGAUUCUAUCUGUUCGAACCCAUUUCGUCCCAUAUCAUUCGCAAUUUCGGCUACGUUUGCAUUCAAAGUUUGAAUUUGCACAGAUUCUUCGUCAUUUCCUGUAGUCAGAGCGGCCUGUGUCAAAGGAACCAAUACGGCGGCGAUAUUAUUUAACAAUAUACUCGGGGUAUAGUUGUAAUAAGGUCAAUUUUACUUUUUUAUUACACCAUUUCACGUUGCGUUUACAAAGGAUAUUCCGUUGAAUCCUUUUAUCAAUAUAUAUGCACCGACGUACUGAUUCGAUCCGCGAAUAAAGAAAUUUUUAGCCGCGAAUAUAGGAAUUGGGUCGCAUUUUUUUAAUCCGCGAAUAGUGAAAACGCGAAUGAAGGAAUCGCGAAUAAAGAGCUUUUACUGUAUUAACACAAUAUACUUUUUGUGCUUUCGGUUUUGAUGGCCUCUUCUUCUUGGGUCAACUGGCUAAAAUAUUAUAUGCUUGUUCGAUUUACGAUUUCCGACCCCUAAAGGGUGAUGCUGGGAUAAUUUAUUACAAAAAACAUUAAUAAUCAAUUAAUAAAAAUAAUCAAUAAACAUUAAAGACAAUCAGUAUGUAUGAACUCAAAGCACAGCGGUUGUACAUCUGUAAAAAGUGCUUAAAAAAAAAGAGGUAUACAGGAGACAUUUAAUUUUAUAUUAUUAACAAAGUUCUGUCAAUCACCUCCUCACGUACAUACAGCUAACCACCUUCCUUUGCUCCAGAACUCUUAAAUUGUACUCGUGUCAGUUCGGGCUUUUCAGAUCAUGAAGCUAUAUUAACCAGCUUCUCUUUGGAUUCAAUUAACAAUAGCACUUUGCGUAAAUUAGGACGUGUUUAUAACAAAAAUAAUUUUCUAAAUUUUAAGAAUCAUUGUCUAACGGAAAACUGGAACUUUCUUUCAAAUGAUGUCGAUAAUGAGUUCUCCAGAUUCUUAAAUUCGCUAUCAGAUAUUGCAAAUAUAUCUUUUCCUCUAAGGCCAAUUAAAACUAAAAAACAAAAGCCCUGGUCCUCCAAAGAUCUUCGUGUAUCGGCAAAAAACAUGCGCUCGCUUUCUUACCUAAAAAAGUUCUCAGAAUCUAUUGCUUUUCAUAAUUACGUCAAGCAGUAUAGGAAAACUUAUCUUAAAACAAUUAAGGCUGCAAAAAAAAUCUAUUACAGCGGGAGGCUGGCAAGAUCUGGCAAUGUAGCUAAAGAAACAUGGUCUAUUGUUAACGAACUAAGAAAUAAGUCUACCUCAACUAGCACUAUCUCUACAUCACCCGAGGACCUAAACAAUUACUUUGUAAACGUGGCAAAAAAUCUAAUGGCCACCAUAACAUCUUCUGAUGAUCCUCUGUCAUAUCUCUCUAAUGAAAAAUUGCACAAUUUCUUUUUUACGCCAGUAUCAUUUACAGAACUUCAAAGUACAAUUAACGAAAUAAAAAACAAAUCAUCAGCUGGUACAGAUGGGCUUACUCUUAAAAUGUUUUCAAAUAUGCCUGAUUGUACUCUAAUCCAUUUAGUAGACCUAAUCAACAUGUCAUUUCAAAAUGGGUCUUUCCAAACUGCCUUAAAACUGCAAUAAUCAUUCCAUUACAUAAAGGAGGAGAUAAAGAUCAAGCUUCAAACUAUCGUCCAAUUGCACUUCUUCCAACCCUCUCAAAGAUCAUAGAACGCCUGGCUAAAAAAAGGUUUUUGUCAUUUUUGUUUAAAUAUAAUAUCUUAACCGCUUAUCAGUUUGGAUUUCUGAGCAAAAAAUGCACCAAUGAUGCUAUGUUCUCCCUAUUUAACAGCGUUUAUUCAAAUAUCAACCAAAAUGACUUAACAGCAACAAUUUUCUGUGACUUUUCAAAGGCUUUCGAUUGCGUAAACCACAUUAUUUUAAUUAACCAAUUGCAGCACUAUGGAUUCAGAGGUAUAUCCCUUUAAUGGUUUAAGUCAUAUUUGUGCAACAGAAGUCAACCUGUAAAGGUCGAUACGUCAAGAUCUUCUUGUAAACCAAUUGAAUGUGGGGUACCUCAAGGUUCCGUUUUGGGUCCUAUGCUCUUUCUGCUGUUUAUAAAUGACCUGGCCAGCCUGAACAUAAGCGGAAAAAUCUGUCUUUUUGCUGAUGAUACUAGCUUCACUUGGAGCAAUCCGAAUGCAAUGGCACCACAUACAACAAUUUCCAACGACUUGGUCUUCAUUAAAUCGUGGUGCGAUUCCAAUCUUUUAUGCCUAAAUCUCUCAAAAACUAAAGUCUUAUCAUAUAAAACGACCAUUCCUCCAUUUAUUCUAAACAAUACCAGUUUGGAGGUUGUUGAGUCUGUCAAGUUCUUGGGUCUUGUUGUGGACGGCUCUUUGAAAUGGAAUUUGCACAUAGAUACGUUAUCUAAAAAACUAAGCUCGGCAUGUUUUGCCAUCAAUCUCAAGAGAAUUAGGCUUUUUCACGGCCAAAAGAGUUUAUUAUGCUCUUUUUGAGUCACAUCUUCGUUACGCCCUUCCAUUCUGGGGUACAUGCUGCAAGACCCAAUUUGAGCGUAUAUUUAAACUUCAAAAGAGAGCGCUUCGCUACUGCCUUAUCCGCAACCAUGUGUCGCAGAUUCCAGAAAGACUAUCCCACAGCUAUUCACUAAGGAACGUUGAUCAUAAUCUUCAUCUGCCAAUUCCACGGUCGGAAUUAGUAAAGAACUCUUUACUUUAUGCAGCAAUAAAAAUGCACAACAAAUCUGCCUUCCGUAAUAAAAUCGAUGACUACUUUUAGUUGUUUUCGCAAUGCCCUAAAAUCUUUACUACUGCAAAAAGCCCUAUAUACAGUAGAAGACUUUUUUAAUAUUUCCUUUUAAAGCACACACACUGGCGUUAUUAGUUACCUAUUAUUUGCAAAAUGUUUGCCUGCUUUUUAUUGUAUGUUUUUUUUUUGAGACUAAGGUUUUUGACAAUUUUAUACAUAUAAUUGUGUGUAUAUUUGUAUAUAAAAAUUAUUUUAUUUAUGUAUUUCGACCAAAUUAUACAAUUUGAUAAUUUGUACAGUAUUUUUGUUUUGUUAUGUAUUUACUUUGUGUGUAUUUUAUCUGAGUAUUUUUUUAUGUUUAUUUAUUUAUAUUUGUAUUUUUUUUCCUUUAGCUUUGUCGACAAAAUGUAAAUUUUCUGACAAUAAAGCAUUUUUGAUUGAUUUUUUUGAUUGACUAACCUCACCUCACUUUGAUAUGUCGGGGACAUAACGGGAACUCUCAUCAUGUGACACAU
RNAcentral lists this unclassified non-coding RNA (6353 nucleotides) under Anthonomus grandis grandis. Its description in RNAcentral is "uncharacterized LOC126745382". Lineage: Eukaryota; Metazoa; Arthropoda; Insecta; Coleoptera; Curculionidae. The record is from RNAcentral.